UCCUGGCUCAGAAUCAACGCUGGCGGCGUGCCUAACACAUGCAAGUCGAGCGAGAAAAGGGGAGCAAUCCUCUGAGUACAGCGGCGCACGGGUGAGUAACACGUGGGUAAUCUGCCCUAGAGUGGGGAAUAACACCGGGAAACCGGUGCUAAUACCGCAUACGAUCACGAGGUCUGCGGACUUUGUGAUGAAAGGAGCAAUUCGCUCCAGGAGGAGCCCGCGGCUGAUUAGCUAGUUGGUGAGGUAACGGCUCACCAAGGCAACGAUCAGUAUCCGGUCUGAGAGGACGGCCGGACACACUGGAACUGAGACACGGUCCAGACUCCUACGGGAGGCAGCAGUGGGGAAUUUUUGGCAAUGGGGGAAACCCUGACCAAGCAGCGCCGCGUGGGUGAUGAAGUCUCUUGGGACGUAAAACCCUUUCGACGGGGAAGAAAACCGCAAGGUUUGACGGUACCCGUAGAAGAAGCCCCGGCUAACUCCGUGCCAGCAGCCGCGGUAAUACGGGGGGGGCAAGCGUUGUUCGGAAUUACUGGGCGUAAAGGGCGCGUAGGCGGUUCGCUAAGUUGGAUGUGAAAACUCUGGGCUCAACCCAGAGCCUGCAUCCAAAACUGGCGGGCUAGAGUUCUGGAGGGGGUAGCGGAA
RNAcentral lists this ribosomal RNA (645 nucleotides) under uncultured soil bacterium. RNAcentral describes it as "bacterial SSU rRNA". It matches the Rfam family "Bacterial small subunit ribosomal RNA", at positions 17 to 666 of the family's 1533-position model. The record is from RNAcentral.